RNAcentral lists this ribosomal RNA (301 nucleotides) under uncultured bacterium. RNAcentral's name for it is "partial 16S ribosomal RNA". It matches the Rfam family "Bacterial small subunit ribosomal RNA", at positions 509 to 807 of the family's 1533-position model. The record is from RNAcentral.
CAGUCGCCGCGGGAAUACAGAGGAUGCAAGCGUUGUCCGGAAUUAUUGGGCAUAAAGGGCUCGCAGGCGGUUUCUUAAGUCUGAUGUGAAAGCCCCCGGCUCAACCGGGGAGGGUCAUUGGAAACUGGGAAACUUGAGUGCAGAAGAGGAGAGUGGAAUUCCACGUGUAGCGGUGAAAUGCGUAGAGACGUGGAGGAACACCAGUGGCGAAGGCGACUCUCUGGUCUGUAACUGACGUUGAGGCUCGAAAGCGUGGGGAGCAAACAGGAUUAGAUACCCCCGUAGUCCCUGUCUCUUAUAC